UACGAAGGGGGCUAGCGUUGUUCGGAAUCACUGGGCGUAAAGCGCACGUAGGCGGAUCUUUAAGUCAGGGGUGAAAUCCCGAGGCUCAACCUCGGAACUGCCUUUGAUACUGGGGAUCUCGAGUCCGGGAGAGGUGAGUGGAACUGCGAGUGUAGAGGUGAAAUUCGUAGAUAUUCGCAAGAACACCAGUGGCGAAGGCGGCUCACUGGCCCGGUACUGACGCUGAGGUGCGAAAGCGUGGGUAGCGAACAGG
RNAcentral lists this ribosomal RNA (253 nucleotides) under uncultured bacterium. RNAcentral's name for it is "partial 16S ribosomal RNA". It matches the Rfam family "Bacterial small subunit ribosomal RNA", at positions 524 to 776 of the family's 1533-position model. The record is from RNAcentral.